CCUGCGCAAGCAGAGAGGAAGUGGGGAUGACGUCAAAUCAUCAUGCCCCUUAUGACCUGGGCUACAAACGUGAUACAAUGGCUGAAACAAAGGGCAGCGAAGGAGCGAUCUGGAGCGAAACCCAAAAAAGCAGUCUCAGUUCGGAUUGAAGUCUGCAACUCGACUUCAUGAAGUCGGAAUCGCUAGUAAUCGCGGAUCAGAACGCCGCGGUGAAUACGUUCUCGGGGUUU
Molecule: ribosomal RNA, 230 nt
Filed under: uncultured Acholeplasma sp.
Lineage: Bacteria; Bacillati; Mycoplasmatota; Mollicutes; Acholeplasmatales; Acholeplasmataceae
Description: partial 16S ribosomal RNA
Rfam family: Bacterial small subunit ribosomal RNA
Source: RNAcentral